Molecule: long non-coding RNA, 569 nt
Organism: Otolemur garnettii (small-eared galago)
Lineage: Eukaryota; Metazoa; Chordata; Mammalia; Primates; Galagidae
Exons: 3
Source: RefSeq, a predicted model, not a curated record
CUCUACUUCCGACUCUUCCUUCCUGGAUGAGCCCCUGGAAAGCGACUGAGGGCACCACCUCCUCCCUCACCACCCACUACCCACUGUUCACCGGCUCCAUUCAAGCAAAGAUAACCCAGUGGUUUAAAUACCCCAAAUAGGUCCUGAGCAGCUGGGUGCUCCACAGACAAACUCUGAACUUGAUAUUCACCAAAAGGCACAGGGAAAGUCAGAGAAAAAGGGAAUGUGAAGCUGGAGGCAGAGAUUGGAGAGAUGCGUCCCCCAAGCCAAGGAGCACUGGGACUGCUGGCAGUCACUAGAAGCUGGGGGAGCAGGAUGGGUGGUUUCUCCUUGACAGCUAGCUCUCAACCUUGCUGACACUUCGAUUUUGGACUUCUGGCCUCCUGAACUAUCAUAGGAUAAAUAUCUGUUGCUUCAUACCACCUGUUUUGUGGCAAUUCAUCAUGGCAGUCCUAGCAGAUAUAUAAGGCCCAUCACUGGCUCCCUGCACUUAAGAACACUGGAUGACACUUCAGCGCUACGCUUGGGGGCCAUUUUAAACAGCAAAGUGAACAACCAAAGCACAAAAA